RNAcentral lists this ribosomal RNA (519 nucleotides) under uncultured bacterium. RNAcentral's name for it is "bacterial SSU rRNA". It matches the Rfam family "Bacterial small subunit ribosomal RNA", at positions 373 to 883 of the family's 1533-position model. The record is from RNAcentral.
GGACGAAAGUCUGAUGGAGCAACGCCGCGUGAGCGAAGAAGGCCUUCGGGUCGUAAAGCUCUGUUGUUAGGGAAGAACAAGUAUCGGGGUAACUGCCGGUACCUUGACGGUACCUAACCAGAAAGCCACGGCUAACUACGUGCCAGCAGCCGCGGUAAUACGUAGGUGGCAAGCGUUGUCCGGAAUUAUUGGGCGUAAAGCGCGCGCAGGCGGUCCUUUAAGUCUGAUGUGAAAGCCCACGGCUCAACCGUGGAGGGUCAUUGGAAACUGGGGGACUUGAGUGCAGAAGAGGAAAGCGGAAUUCCACGUGUAGCGGUGAAAUGCGUAGAGAUGUGGAGGAACACCAGUGGCGAAGGCGGCUUUCUGGUCUGUAACUGACGCUGAGGCGCGAAAGCGUGGGGAGCAAACAGGAUUAGAUACCCUGGUAGUCCACGCCGUAAACGAUGAGUGCUAAGUGUUAGGGGGUUUCCGCCCCUUAGUGCUGCAGCUAACGCAUUAAGCACUCCGCCUGGGGAGUAC